RNAcentral lists this transfer RNA (103 nucleotides) under Thermoprotei archaeon. RNAcentral's name for it is "tRNA-Leu". It matches the Rfam family "tRNA". From Rfam's summary of the family: Transfer RNA (tRNA) molecules are approximately 80 nucleotides in length. The record is from RNAcentral. Lineage: Archaea; Thermoproteati; Thermoproteota; Thermoprotei. RNAcentral also lists the same sequence under 1 other name.
GCGGGGGUGCCCGAGCCAGGACAAAGGGCUAGAUCCGUCCAGAGGGGGCGGACUUAAGAUCCGCUGCCGAAGGGCUGCGUGGGUUCGAAUCCCACCCCCCGCA